This 76-nucleotide transfer RNA is filed under the name Alphaproteobacteria bacterium. Its description in RNAcentral is "tRNA-Thr". It matches the Rfam family "tRNA". Rfam says of the family: Transfer RNA (tRNA) molecules are approximately 80 nucleotides in length. Their secondary structure includes four short double-helical elements and three loops (D, anti-codon, and T loops). The record is from RNAcentral. Lineage: Bacteria; Pseudomonadati; Pseudomonadota; Alphaproteobacteria.
GCCGUUGUAGCUCAGUUGGUAGAGCAACGCAUUCGUAAUGCGUGGGUCGGAAGUUCAAGUCUUCUCAACGGCACCA